This 309-nucleotide unclassified non-coding RNA is filed under the name uncultured fungus. RNAcentral describes it as "sequence contains ITS2". Lineage: Eukaryota; Fungi. The record is from RNAcentral.
AACGCACAUUGCGCCCGCCAGCACUCUGGCGGGCAUGCCUGUCCGAGCGUCGCCCCCCCACACGUCAAGCGCAGCUUGUGCUGGAGCGCCGCGGCCGCCGCGGGCUCCCAAAUGCAGUGGCGGGACCGCCGCCGCGCCGAGCGUAGUAGUUCUCCUCCGCUCCGGCACGGCGGCGGCCCCGGCCGCCGAGGUCCCCAGACAGCAAACCCCCGGUCGCAGGGGACGCCCCGCGCCUCGGGUCCUUGCUGUCCAGGGCCCGGCCCGCAACAGAACGACCUCGGAUCAGGCAGGAGUACCCGCUGAACUUAA